UACAGAGGGUGCAAGCGUUAAUCGGAAUUACUGGGCGUAAAGCGUGCGCAGGCGGUUAUGCAAGACAGAUGUGAAAUCCCCGGGCUCAACCUGGGAACUGCAUUUGUGACUGCAUGGCUAGAGUACGGCAGAGGGGGAUGGAAUUCCGCGUGUAGCAGUGAAAUGCGUAGAUAUGCGGAGGAACACCAAUGGCGAAGGCAAUCCCCUGGGCCUGUACUGACGCUCAUGCACGAAAGCGUGGGGAGCAAACAGG
RNAcentral lists this ribosomal RNA (253 nucleotides) under uncultured bacterium. RNAcentral's name for it is "partial 16S ribosomal RNA". It matches the Rfam family "Bacterial small subunit ribosomal RNA", at positions 524 to 776 of the family's 1533-position model. The record is from RNAcentral.